This 445-nucleotide ribosomal RNA is filed under the name uncultured bacterium. Its description in RNAcentral is "partial 16S ribosomal RNA". It matches the Rfam family "Bacterial small subunit ribosomal RNA", at positions 354 to 796 of the family's 1533-position model. The record is from RNAcentral.
GUGAGGAAUAUUGGUCAAUGGGCGGGAGCCUGAACCAGCCAAGUCGCGUGAAGGAAGAAGGAUCUAUGGUUCGUAAACUUCUUUUGCAGGGGAAUAAAGUGCAGGACGUGUCCUGUUUUGUAUGUACCCUGAGAAUAAGGAUCGGCUAACUCCGUGCCAGCAGCCGCGGUAAUACGGAGGAUGCGAGCGUUAUCCGGAUUUAUUGGGUUUAAAGGGUGCGUAGGUGGUUUGAUAAGUCAGCGGUGAAAGUUUGCAGCUUAACUGUAAAAAUGCCGUUGAAACUGUCGGACUUGAGUGUAAAUGAGGUAGGCGGAAUGCGUGGUGUAGCGGUGAAAUGCAUAGAUAUCACGCAGAACUCCGAUUGCGAAGGCAGCUUACUAAGCUACAACUGACACUGAAGCACGAAAGCGUGGGGAUCAAACAGGAUUAGAUACCCGGGUAGUCC